GACAGCGAGGAGGUUUUAACCCAGUCACACAGUAUAGUGGAGAGGGAAGGGUCUCUCAGUCACCCUCAGACUGACAGCGAGGAGGUUUUAACCCAGUCACACAGUAUAGUGGAGAGGGAAGAGUCUCUCAGUCACCCUCACACUGACAGCGAGGAGGUUUUAACCCAGUCACACAGUAUAGUGGAGAGGGAAGAGUCUCUCAGUCACCCUCACACUGACAGCGAGGAGGUUUUAACCCAGUCACACAGUAUAGUGGAGAGGGAAGGGUCUCUCAGUCACCCUCAGACUGACAGCGAGGAGGUUUUAACCCAGUCACACAGUAUAGUGGAGAGGGAAGGGUCUCUCAAUCAGGAAGACGGCAUUGUUCACAGUGAGGAGACAGACAGAGUCCCGGAAAAGACAGGAACAGGGGAGGAGGUGGAGGAGAGGAGAGAUAGGGGUUCAGAAACCAGGGCAGAGGAGAGGGAUAGGGGUUCAGAAACCAGGACAGAGACAGAGGAGAGGAGGGAUAGGGGUUCAGAAACCAGGACAGAGACAGAGGAGGGGGAUCGGGGUUCAGAAACCAGGACAGAGACAGAGGAGAGGAGGGAUAGUGGUUCAGAAACCAGGACAGAGACAGAGGAGAGGAGGGAUAGGGGUUCAGAAACCAGGACAGGGACAGAGGAUAGGAGGGAUAAGGGUUCAGAAACCAGGACAGAGACAGAGGAGAGGAGGGAUAGUGGUUCAGAAACCAGGACAGAGACAGAGGAGAGGAGGGAUAGGGGUUCAGAAACCAGGACAGAGACAGAGGAGGGGGAUCGGGGUUCAGAAACCAGGACAGAGACAGAGGAGAGGAGGGAUAGUGGUUCAGAAACCAGGACAGAGACAGA
Molecule: long non-coding RNA, 869 nt
Organism: Oncorhynchus tshawytscha (Chinook salmon)
Lineage: Eukaryota; Metazoa; Chordata; Actinopteri; Salmoniformes; Salmonidae
Source: Ensembl